AUUGAACGCUGGCGGCAGGCCUAACACAUGCAAGUCGAACGGUAACAGGAAGCAGCUUUCUGCUUUGUUGACGAGUGGCGGACGGGUGAGUAAUGUCUGGGAAACCGCCUGAUGGAGGGGGUACACUACUGGAAACGGUAGGUAAUACCGCAUAAUGUCGCAAGACAAACGAGGGGGACCUUGGGGCCACUUGCCAUCGGAUGUGCCCAGAUGGGAUUAGUUAGUCGGUGGGGUAAGGGCUCACCUUGGAGACGAUCCAUAGCGGGUCUGAGAGGACGACCAGCGACACUGGAACGAGGAAGCGGGCCGGACUCCUGCGAGAGGCAGAAGUGGGGAAUAUUGCAGAAUGGGCGCAGGGCUGAUGCAGCCAUGCCGCGGGUAUGAAGAAGGCCUUCGGGUUGUAUAGUACUUUCAGCGGGGGGGAAGGAAGUAAAUUUAAUACGUGUGCACAUUGACGUUACCGGCAGAAGAAGCUCCGGCUAACUACGUG
Molecule: ribosomal RNA, 490 nt
Filed under: uncultured bacterium
Lineage: Bacteria
Description: partial 16S ribosomal RNA
Rfam family: Bacterial small subunit ribosomal RNA
Source: RNAcentral